GGAACUGUUACCGAGAUGGUCAAGGUGCUGCACUGAAAAUGCAGUUAUGUCGGUUCGAGUCCGACCGGUUCCA
RNAcentral lists this transfer RNA (73 nucleotides) under Spirosoma oryzae. RNAcentral's name for it is "tRNA-Phe". It matches the Rfam family "tRNA". From Rfam's summary of the family: Transfer RNA (tRNA) molecules are approximately 80 nucleotides in length. Their secondary structure includes four short double-helical elements and three loops (D, anti-codon, and T loops). The record is from RNAcentral. Lineage: Bacteria; Pseudomonadati; Bacteroidota; Cytophagia; Cytophagales; Cytophagaceae.